RNAcentral lists this ribosomal RNA (476 nucleotides) under uncultured organism. RNAcentral's name for it is "partial 16S ribosomal RNA". It matches the Rfam family "Bacterial small subunit ribosomal RNA", at positions 332 to 799 of the family's 1533-position model. The record is from RNAcentral.
UACACUCCUACGGGAGGCAGCAGUGGGGAAUUUUGGCCAAUGGGCGAAAGCCUGAUCCAGCAAUGCCGCGUGAGUGAAGAAGGCCUUCGGGUUGUAAAGCUCUUUUGUCAGGGAAGAAACGGUGAGAGCUAAUAUCUUUUGCUAAUGACGGUACCUGAAGAAUAAGCACCGGCUAACUACGUGCCAGCAGCCGCGGUAAUACGUAGGGUGCAAGCGUUAAUCGGAAUUACUGGGCGUAAAGCGUGCGCAGGCGGUUUUGUAAGUCUGAUGUGAAAUCCCCGGGCUCAACCUGGGAAUUGCAUUGGAGACUGCAAGGCUAGAAUCUGGCAGAGGGGGGUAGAAUUCCACGUGUAGCAGUGAAAUGCGUAGAUAUGUGGAGGAACACCGAUGGCGAAGGCAGCCCCCUGGGUCAAGAUUGACGCUCAUGCACGAAAGCGUGGGGAGCAAACAGGAUUAGAAACCCUUGUAGUCCCAUG